GCGAGUGAACCGGGAUGAGCUCAAAUUUAAAAUCUGGCGUCUUUCAGGCGUCCGAGUUGUAAUCUAUAGAGGCGUUUUCCGCGCCGGACCGCGUCCAAGUCUCUUGGAAUAGAGUAUCAAAGAGGGUGACAAUCCCGUACUUGACGCGACAACCGGUGCUCUGUGAUACGUUCUCAAUGAGUCGAGUUGUUUGGGAAUGCAGCUCUAAAUGGGUGGUAAAUUCCAUCUAAGGCUAAAUAUUGGCGAGAGACCGAUAGCGAACAAGUACCGUGAGGGAAAGAUGAAAAGCACUUUGGAAAGAGAGUUAAACAGCACGUGAAAUUGUUAAAAGGGAAACGAUUGAAGUCAGUCGUGUGAAAGGUAUUCAGCCGUCUCUGGCGGUGUAUUUGCCUUUCACGGGUCAACAUCAGUUUGAUCCGGUAGAAAAAGGCGGGAGGAAGGUGGCACCCUCGGGUGUGUUAUAGCCUCCUGUCAUAUGUGCCGGACCAGACUGAGGAACGCAGCUUGCCGCAAGGCCGGGGUUCGCCCACGUACAAGCUUAGGAUGUUGACAUAAUGGCUUUAAACGACCCGUC
Molecule: ribosomal RNA, 574 nt
Filed under: Vishniacozyma victoriae
Lineage: Eukaryota; Fungi; Basidiomycota; Tremellomycetes; Tremellales; Bulleribasidiaceae
Description: partial large subunit ribosomal RNA
Rfam family: Eukaryotic large subunit ribosomal RNA
Source: RNAcentral